GAUGAACGCUGGCGGCGUGCCUAAUACAUGCAAGUCGAGCGAACAGACGAGGAGCUUGCUCCUCUGACGUUAGCGGCGGACGGGUGAGUAACACGUGGAUAACCUACCUAUAAGACUGGGAUAACUUCGGGAAACCGGAGCUAAUACCGGAUAAUAUAUUGAACCGCAUGGUUCAAUAGUUAAAGACGGUUUUGCUGUCACUUAUAGAUGGAUCCGCGCCGCAUUAGCUAGUUGGUAAGGUAACGGCUUACCAAGGCAACGAUGCGUAGCCGACCUGAGAGGGUGAUCGGCAACACUGGAACUGAGACACGGUCCAGACUCCUACGGGAGGCAGCAGUAGGGAAUCUUCCGCAAUGGGCGAAAGCCUGACGGAGCAACGCCGCGUGAGUGAUGAAGAUCUUCGGAUCGUAAAACUCUGUUAUUAGGGAAGAACAAAUGUGUAAGUAACUAUGCACGUCUUGACGGUACCUAAUCAGAAAGCCACGGCUAACUACGUG
RNAcentral lists this ribosomal RNA (497 nucleotides) under uncultured bacterium. Its description in RNAcentral is "partial 16S ribosomal RNA". It matches the Rfam family "Bacterial small subunit ribosomal RNA", at positions 28 to 507 of the family's 1533-position model. The record is from RNAcentral.